AUCAAACCCCAACCACUUGUAAUGUAAUCUGAGUAAAUUUUCUUUUUAGCGAAGUUUUACAUUUAACAAAUAUUCUGCCAAAUCCGAGAGAAAAGAAUUUGUUAAAAAUAAACUUUCCUUUAAAAACUGCAAUUAAAAUACUCGAAAUAUUACAUCUAUGACGUAAAACUCGUGACGUAACGCGUGACGCAUUGUAACGACAAAUUCGAAUUCGUUCCAUUUCGUAUUGUUGCCGACGCCAUCUUGGAAUUUUAUGCUUUCCGGAAAUUGCGAGUUCUUAUUCCCUCCAUUUUUAACAUUUUUCGUACAAAUUUUAAUAACGAAAACUCUCGUAACGAAGAAGUAUCAUUAUCAAAUUUCAUAAUCCACUUACCAGAGAGACAUGGAAUCAUUUUAAAAGCUUCUUGUGCUCAAAAAAUUAACAAGCAAAACAAAGGAAAGAUUUAACUGAUUGUGAGCACUUAAAGCCAGGAGUUGUGUGACAUCAUUUAGGCUUCUGACAUACCAAUAGAGCAGCUAUGUGACAUGUAUGUAUGAAAAUUACUUUGUGG
This 551-nucleotide long non-coding RNA is filed under the name Centruroides sculpturatus (bark scorpion). Its description in RNAcentral is "uncharacterized LOC111630330, transcript variant X1". Lineage: Eukaryota; Metazoa; Arthropoda; Arachnida; Scorpiones; Buthidae. The record is from RNAcentral.